Molecule: ribosomal RNA, 253 nt
Filed under: uncultured bacterium
Lineage: Bacteria
Description: partial 16S ribosomal RNA
Rfam family: Bacterial small subunit ribosomal RNA
Source: RNAcentral
UACGUAGGGUGCAAGCAUUGUCCGGAUUUAUUGGGCGUAAAGAGCUCGUAGGCGGCUUGUCACGUCGGGUGUGAAAACUCGGGGCUCAACCCCGAGCCUGCACUCGAUACGGGCUAGCUAGAGUGUUGCAGGGGAGACUGGAAUUCCUGGUGUAGCGGUGAAAUGCGCAGAUAUCAGGAGGAACACCGGUGGCGAAGGCGGGUCUCUGGGCAACUACUGACGCUGAGGAGCGAAAGCGUGGGGAGCAAACAGG